This 464-nucleotide ribosomal RNA is filed under the name uncultured bacterium. RNAcentral describes it as "partial 16S ribosomal RNA". It matches the Rfam family "Bacterial small subunit ribosomal RNA", at positions 339 to 795 of the family's 1533-position model. The record is from RNAcentral.
CUACGGGGGGCUGCAGUGGGGAAUAUUGCACAAUGGAGGAAACUCUGAUGCAGCCAUGCCGCGUGUGUGAAGAAGGCCCGAGGGUUGUAAAGCACUUUCAAUUGGGAGGAAGGUUAGUAAGUUGAUACCUUGCUAGCUUGACGUUACCUUUAGAAGAAGCACCGGCUAACUCUGUGCCAGCAGCCGCGGUAAUACAGAGGGUGCAAGCGUUAUUCGGAAUUACUGGGCGUAAAGCGCGCGUAGGCGGACUGUUAAGUCGGUUGUGAAAGCCCUGGGCUCAACCUAGGAACUGCAUCCGAUACUGGCAAUCUAGAGUUUAAGAGAGGGAAGUGGAAUUCCAGGUGUAGCAGUGAAAUGCGUAGAUAUCUGGAGGAACAUCAGUGGCGAAGGCGACUUCCUGGCUUAAAACUGACGCUGAGGUGCGAAAGCGUGGGUAGCGAACGGGAUUAGAUACCCCAGUAGUC